RNAcentral lists this ribosomal RNA (1475 nucleotides) under uncultured bacterium. RNAcentral's name for it is "bacterial SSU rRNA". It matches the Rfam family "Bacterial small subunit ribosomal RNA". The record is from RNAcentral.
CUGGCUCAGGAUGAACGCUAGCGGCAGGCCUAACACAUGCAAGUCGAGGGGCAGCGGGUAAGUAGCUUGCUACUUAUGCCGGCGACCGGCGGACGGGUGCGUAACGCGUAUGUAACCUACCUUUGACAGGGGGAUAACAUCGAGAAAUUGGUACUAAUACCCCAUAACAUCACCGGAGGCAUCUUCGGUGGUUGAAAACUCAGGUGGUCAGAGAUGGACAUGCGUUGUAUUAGCUAGUUGGUGAGGUAACGGCUCACCAAGGCGACGAUACAUAGGGGGACUGAGAGGUCAACCCCCCACAUUGGUACUGAGACACGGACCAAACUCCUACGGGAGGCAGCAGUGAGGAAUAUUGGUCAAUGGACGCAAGUCUGAACCAGCCAUGCCGCGUGCAGGAAGACGGCUCUAUGAGUUGUAAACUGCUUUUGUACGAGGGUAAAUCCCGAUACGUGUAUCGGGUUGAAAGUAUCGUACGAAUAAGGAUCGGCUAACUCCGUGCCAGCAGCCGCGGUAAUACGGAGGAUUCAAGCGUUAUCCGGAUUUAUUGGGUUUAAAGGGUGCGUAGGCGCUUCGAUAAGUUAGAGGUGAAAUCCCGGGGCUCAACUCCGGCACUGCCUCUGAUACUGUCGGGCUAGAGUUUAGUUGCGGUAGGCGGAAUGUAUGGUGUAGCGGUGAAAUGCAUAGAGAUCAUACAGAACACCGAUUGCGAAGGCAGCUUACCAAACUACGACUGACGUUGAGGCACGAAAGCGUGGGGAGCAAACAGGAUUAGAUACCCUGGUAGUCCACGCAGUAAACGAUGAUAACUGGUUGUCGGCGAUAAAAUGUCGGUGACUAAGCAAAAGCGAUAAGUUAUCCACCUGGGGAGUACGUUCGCAAGAAUGAAACUCAAAGGAAUUGACGGGGGCCCGCACAGGCGGAGGAACAUGUGGUUUAAUUCGAUGAUACGCGAGGAACCUUACCCGGGCUUGAAAGUUACUGACGAUUCUGGAAACAGGAUUUCCCUUCGGGGCAGGAAACUAGGUGCUGCAUGGUUGUCGUCAGCUCGUGCCGUGAGGUGUCGGGUUAAGUCCCAUAACGAGCGCAACCCCUACCGUUAGUUGCCAUCAGGUAAAGCUGGGCACUCUGGCGGGACUGCCGGUGUAAGCCGAGAGGAAGGUGGGGAUGACGUCAAAUCAGCACGGCCCUUACGUCCGGGGCUACACACGUGUUACAAUGGCAGGUACAGAGGGCAGCUACCCAGCAAUGGGAUGCGAAUCUCGAAAGCCUGUCUCAGUUCGGAUUGGAGGCUGAAACCCGCCUCCAUGAAGUUGGAUUCGCUAGUAAUCGCGCAUCAGCCAUGGCGCGGUGAAUACGUUCCCGGGCCUUGUACACACCGCCCGUCAAGCCAUGGGAGCCGGGGGUGCCUGAAGUUCGUGACCGCAAGGAGCGACCUAAGGCAAAACUGGUGACUGGGGCUAAGUCGUAACAAGGUA